Molecule: long non-coding RNA, 1990 nt
Filed under: Lactuca sativa (garden lettuce)
Lineage: Eukaryota; Viridiplantae; Streptophyta; Magnoliopsida; Asterales; Asteraceae
Description: long non-coding RNA (LSAT_LNC007087)
Source: RNAcentral
GUUUGUUAAUAUGUAUAUCAAAUGCUAGUUAAUAUGUAUACCUUGCUUCAAGAUGUUUCGUUCUGGGUUUACCAACACUUCUUUUUCUGGUUUUUCUUUCUACCAUAUAGAUCCUCCUACUCUUGGUUGUUUGCACUAGUACCUCAUCUAUAUGUAAUGGUAAAUUUCUGAUGUAUAACCUCAUACCUGUUGAUAAGAAAAUGAGCAUAAAAAUGAUCACAAAAAAUGACGAGGGUAAUGAUAUGUUAAAGAUUAUGACUUAAUCCAACUAAUGAUAUUAUUAUGACACUUUUUUUUAUAUAUGAAAUGAGAAGCAACUCUGAUGUUUUGUAUAAUGUUUGUAUAGAAUGUUUUGGUAAUUCAAGAAUCCAUGAAAGAAUCUUGAAAAAGAUGCAUCACCUAAUCUUUUCACAUACAACAUCCAAAACAUAAAAAAAUCAUACCAAAAAAGUGUGAUAUAGUCAUUUCAUUUAGGAUAGAGACCUUGAUGGUUAUAUAACAUAAAAAUAAGGACCAAAAUUACAUUUGAUGCAAUUUAUAAUCAAAUACAACAAUAAACAAUUACAUUUGAUGUAAACAAAAAGAAAUAUGAUGCAAUUUAUAUUCAACCCUUAUUGAUGGGUACUGCAAGAACGGUCAAAUAGAGGAGGCGUUUUCACUUUAUAAUGAGAUGGUUCAAAUAGGUUUAACUCCAAAUGUUGUAACUUAUACUUCAUUGGUUGACGGUUUAUGCAAACAAGUGAAACCUACAAGGGUAUGUUGGGAAAAGGAGUUUCCCCGAAUACCAACACAUAUGAUGUUCUAAUAAGAGGACAUCGUAAAGCAAGUAAUAUGAAGGAGGCAUGGUUUUUGUAUAAAGAAAUGGUGGAGAAGGGAUAUGAUCUCACAGUAAAUGGUUAUAAUGCUCUCAUCAAGGGGUUCAUUAAAAGGAAAAAUUUGGAGGCAAAAAGUUGUUUGAUGAAAUGGAAAAAAAAUCCAAAAAUACCCUUUGGACUUUUCUACAGUCAAAAUCAAAAGCAUGAUAUCGAUAUGAUAUGAGUUAAGCUUUCAACAUGCAUCCUCAUAUAAUGUACAAUUCCAUUUAGGUGAAAAAGCACUUGUUUUCAAGAAUAUAAAUAGUUCACUUGUAGCAUGGAGAGGCAUAAGCACGUUUGUAACAGAACUAGCAAUGAUAACAGAUUGAUCAUACCCAUCCAUGGACCCCACUGACCUCCCACCUUCUGAGAAAAGAUCACCAAACAAAGGUGUUCUAAAACACAAUGAUGUUGCAGAAAAUUGUGUGAACGAAGUAGAGAAACGCCUCCAGUAGCAACAAUACAAGGCUUUCGAUAUUGAACUCAAUAGAAACAUUGUUUGUGGCAAACUCAUAUCUACUUGCAAACAAACUAGACAACACGUUGAUAAAUGAUGCAAAAGAUCCCAACAGCUUAGCAUAAUAUUCAACAUUUCAAGGAGACAAGGAAUAUGAAGGAAACAAAAUAGAGUCAAUGAUGUUUACAAACUAUAUGAAUGGAUGCUAAUGCCACUCCAAAGAUGUACAAAAUAGAGUUGAUGAUGUUUUCUAGGUUUAUCAACAAUCAAUAUGAAGUAAUAUGUCGUACACAAAGAAGACAUUGUCAUAAACAAAACAUUAAUCAACGAAUCAAUCAACUACACCGAAAAGCCGAUCGUACCUGUAAACAAUGUGAAAGAAGGAGGAGGCGGAAGCAGCUGUAGGCCGGAGUAGGAGACUUCGUAUGUGUUUUCGACCGGAGACCAGCGGUGGAGGCGUCGUUGGCCGAAGGCGGAGGCCAAAACAAUGUGAAAGAAGGAGGAGGCGGAAGCAGUUGUAGUCCGGAUUAGGAGACUUCGUAUGUGUCGUCGACCGGAGACCGGCGAUGGAGACGUCGUCAGCCAAAGGUGGAGACAUCGAUGGCCAGAGGCGGAGGCGUCGUUGGCAGAAGGCUCCGUCGUUCUCGUGAUAAGCAAACAAGUAUAAGCAAAAGUGAAG